This 253-nucleotide ribosomal RNA is filed under the name uncultured bacterium. RNAcentral describes it as "partial 16S ribosomal RNA". It matches the Rfam family "Bacterial small subunit ribosomal RNA", at positions 524 to 776 of the family's 1533-position model. The record is from RNAcentral.
UACGUAGGUGACCAGCGUUGUCCGGAUUUACUGGGCGUAAAGAGCGCGCAGGCGGUCGUUCAAGUCGAGUGUGAAAGCCCCCGGCUCAACUGGGGAGGGUCAUUCGAUACUGAUCGACUUGAAGGCAGGAGAGGGAAGCGGAAUUCCCGGUGUAGUGGUGAAAUGCGUAGAUAUCGGGAGGAACACCAGUGGCGAAGGCGAAUCCCUGGAAAAUACCUGACACUGAGGCACGAAAGCUAGGGGAGCAAACAGG